AACGAACGCUGGCGGCAUGCCUAACACAUGCAAGUCGAACGAGACCUUCGGGUCUAGUGGCGCACGGGUGCGUAACGCGUGGGAACCUGCCCUUAGGUUCGGAAUAACUCCCCGAAAGGGGUGCUAAUACCGGAUAAUGUCUUCUGACCAAAGAUUUAUCGCCUUUGGAUGGUCCCGCGUUGGAUUAGCUAGUUGGUAGGGUAAAAGCAUACCAAGGCGACGAUCCAUAGCUGGUCUGAGAGGAUGAUCAGCCACACUGGGACUGAGACACGGCCCAGACUCUUCCGGGAGGCAGCAGUGGGGAAUAUUGGACAAUGGGGGAAAGGCUGAUCCAGCACUGCCGCGUGAGUGAUGAAGGCCUUAGGGUUGUAAAGCUCUUUUAACCGGGAUGAUAAUGACAGUACCGGGAGAAUAAGCUCCGGCUAACUCCGUG
Molecule: ribosomal RNA, 433 nt
Filed under: uncultured bacterium
Lineage: Bacteria
Description: partial 16S ribosomal RNA
Rfam family: Bacterial small subunit ribosomal RNA
Source: RNAcentral